GGAAAAUUGCAAUCAUUAUCCCUAUACAUAAACCAGGAAAACAAAAUAGUUCACCCAAAAGUUACCGACCCAUAAGUCUACUCCCAACUUUCUCAAAACUCCUUGAAAGAAUUCUAUAGCACAGAAUUAAACCGUUCCUAAAAAUUAUACCACUACAUCAAUUUGGUUUCAAAUCAUUUCAUUCGACAACCCAUCAGCUACAACGGAUAUCUGAAAU
Cinara cedri is the source of this 217-nucleotide non-coding RNA. The record is from the annotation of a GenBank genome assembly. Lineage: Eukaryota; Metazoa; Arthropoda; Insecta; Hemiptera; Aphididae.